RNAcentral lists this long non-coding RNA (204 nucleotides) under Fukomys damarensis (Damara mole-rat). Its description in RNAcentral is "lncRNA (ENSFDAG00000023624.1)". The record is from RNAcentral. Lineage: Eukaryota; Metazoa; Chordata; Mammalia; Rodentia; Bathyergidae.
CAAAGAGACGGAGACUGGCGAAAGUGCCCCAAACCAGGGAGGAGGUGAUCCGGGGAUUUGAAGAAGUCCUACAUCCAACCCCGUGUAGAACAAGGUCUGUAUCACCUUACAAAAGAUUUAAAAGUCAGAUCGACAGGAGCGUGAUAAUGGCACGAUUCAGAAGAAAGUGAUUGAACAUCCCUCUCCUGGCACUCUUAACAGGUU